Molecule: ribosomal RNA, 253 nt
Filed under: uncultured bacterium
Lineage: Bacteria
Description: partial 16S ribosomal RNA
Rfam family: Bacterial small subunit ribosomal RNA
Source: RNAcentral
UACGUAGGUGGCAAGCGUUGUCCGGAUUUACUGGGCGUAAAGCGUGCGCAGGCGGUUAUGCAAGACAGAUGUGAAAUCCCCGGGCUCAACCUGGGAACUGCAUUUGUGACUGCAUAGCUAGAGUGCGGCAGAGGGAGAUGGAAUUCCGCGUGUAGCAGUGAAAUGCGUAGAUAUGCGGAGGAACACCGAUGGCGAAGGCAAUCUCCUGGGCCUGCACUGACGCUCAUGCACGAAAGCGUGGGGAGCAAACAGG